Salvia splendens (bonfire salvia) is the source of this 636-nucleotide long non-coding RNA. RefSeq lists it as uncharacterized. The record is from RefSeq and is a predicted model, not a curated record. The transcript has 3 exons. Lineage: Eukaryota; Viridiplantae; Streptophyta; Magnoliopsida; Lamiales; Lamiaceae.
CUUCAACUCCACAACGCAGCCAGUUUUCAUCCCCUACUGAAAUUUGAGAGAGGAAAAUUGAGUAAAGAGAGAGACCGUGUGAUGAUUUUAGUUCUUCCUUCCAACCAAAGGGGUAAUGUAGACAUUUGACGGAAACAUGAACCGCCAUAUUUUGGUAUAUGCGAAUUUUACGGGAUUUGAAAACAUCCGCCUCUUCUUCUUUCUUCAUUCAUUACGCACACAACCAAAACCACUCCAUCCACUCCCUCCACUACCGCAAACCCUAGUUUUCACUCCCUGCCGCAGCGUUCGAAGAAAUAGCAGCAGUGCACCAAAAUUUCUACGGCAACAAGCUACCGGCGUUAACAGCUGCUCCUAAACAACGACUCCUAUCGACAAUAGAAGCGGCUAAGACUCGACAUCGACGAAGCGAUCGACAAUGUAAUUCUGGUAGCACUUGCGAAAAGAUUCAGGGAUAGAUUGGCCGAGGUGGCCCAAGUACAGCUGGAGAUCAGGGUGAGCCGAAGAGCCGUAGAGGAAGAAAGGGCCCUCGUCUCUUACAUAAUAUGUACAUUAUGUAAAUCAGUCAAAAUGAGUGCAUAUCCGCGAUUAUAACUAAACACUAGUUUUAUAAAUCAAACUAAUGGUCUUUGUUAA